GCUCUUUGCCGUAGUUUAUCUACAGAACUUGGAUCCUUCCUUCCUUCCCCAUUGUUUCUGCGGAAGUGUUUACAAGUUGGACUUUUCCUUUUCUUGUUUCCAGCCAAAGACCAAACAAAGCUAAUCAUGGAGGGAGCUGUAGGCCGAGAAGAAGUGGGAAUCCCCACCUACACGCAACAUUUGAUCCGCGUCGUAGGGGAAACUUAAUUCCACAUGUAUCGUGCGACAGUGACGUAUGGAAUUCCCACUGAGAGCAUCCGAGGAUCCGGGCGCGUCGGGGAACAACGCAGCCCAAGACCCUGUCCUGCCGCAGGCCACAGCUGCUGCAGUUCAUUUCCUGAGCGGCAGAGUCUGGGGAUGCACUGCCUGCCCCCCCAACCUCCCCGGCCCGCACCACGCCCUUCAGACACAAGACAGUUCACAGCUCUGCUGAGUGCUGUAAACGAUGUUCUGCCCUCAGGACUGAAUGUUCUCAUUUUAUUUAGAAAGACACACACUUGCUGGUGGCUGAGGCAGGAGGACCCCUGAGCCCAGAGGUUGGAGAUCAGCCUAGGCAGCACAGCGGGACCCUGCUCAAAACAAAUUUUUUGAGUUAAAAAAAGAAGAAAGGAAAGGAAAGGAAAGGAAAGCCAGGUGUGGUGGCACAUGUGUGUAAUCCCAGCACUUGGGAGGCUGAGGCAGGAGGAUCAGCGUGAGUUCGAGGCCAGCCUGAGCUACAAAGUGAGUUCAAGCCCAUCCUGAACUGUACAGUGAGACCCUGUCUCAAAAAGGACAAAGAAAAAAAAGAAAAAGAAAUGAAGCAAGAAAAUAAAUUUAGGGGGCUGGGGAUUUAGCUCAGCGGCAAAAGCGCCUGCCUGGCAAGCGCAAGGUCGUGAGUUCCCGGUACCGGAGAAAAACCAAAAAAAAAAAAUAAAAUAAAAUAAAUUUAAAAGACCACUCAAUUAUGAUCAAGCACUUACAUCUGUGACAUGCCCGUUUUCUACUUUUGUAUCAUUAUCGCUGACAUCUAUGUGUGUGUUUCUGAGUCAGGGUCUUGCUUUGUAGCCCAGGCUGGCCUCAAGCUCACACUGACCCUCCUGCCUCAGCCUCCCAAGUGCUGGGAUGGCAGGUGUGCGUCACCGCGCCUGGCUUAGUAUCCGCAUUGUGGCUCCUCUGCUUUCCACUUCUUUGGUGCAUAGCUCACUGGCUGGGACGGCAUCCAGGUGAGCCGGGAGCAUCUCCUUUCUCUGGAGGCUUUUCCAGGAGAGCUCAUUCAUCACUUGCCGAGAGUGGACCACAAGGCUGGUUGUUGCCCUGAAUUGUUCUAGAGAGAAAUCCGGGGUGGGCGGGGGGCGGGCUGCUCUUGGGCCUGGAUAAUCCACCAGGGAAUCAGAUUUCCUUGAGGUGACCAAGUUAAUCUAUUGAUCCAGGUUACGAGGGAGCAGGGGUCAGGCUCACUGGGGUCCACCCUGCAGCCAAGGUGGACGCCGAGUGCCCCAGCGCAUACAUAGGUCGCAUAGGUCGUGUCCUGCCACGGUCCCAGCGCGGCGGGGUCACAAGACCUGGGCGGGGCAGACGCCCCAGGCUUCGGUCUGCACAGCCCUCUCCCUGGGCGUCUUCCUGCUGGGGAGGAGCCUGACACACACCUGUGCUUGGAGCUACCCGUCCUGCACACGGCUCCUCAAACUUACGUUCUUUACAUUAGGCUGAGCUUCAGAUCCACUUCCUCAGCCACUAGAUGCAGUUCCAGUGCACCACAGCUGUCCAGGCUGCCGCCCGCUGCCCGAGGCCCCGCAGGUGAGGAGCAGGCCCUGGUCGGAGGACUGGGCCGAUCCGCCUGCUCUGCAGCGCUGUUCUGAGGAGGCCGAGGGCUCUGCAGUAAUGAAAUGACUCUGCC
This is a long non-coding RNA of Chinchilla lanigera (long-tailed chinchilla), 1876 nucleotides long. NCBI's taxonomy places the organism in Eukaryota, Metazoa, Chordata, Mammalia, Rodentia, Chinchillidae. The record is from Ensembl.